GUGCCCCUUAAAGGUGGUGCUGUACUUAAGAGGCUAACACAGAAGGGUAAAGCAACUCUUCAUAAAACCCAGGGAGGAGACUGUAUGCCUCUUUGGAUCCUGUGUGGGAGAAAAAU
Rattus norvegicus (Norway rat) is the source of this 116-nucleotide small nucleolar RNA. Ensembl annotates it as small nucleolar RNA SNORA26. The record is from Ensembl. NCBI's taxonomy places the organism in Eukaryota, Metazoa, Chordata, Mammalia, Rodentia, Muridae.